GGAAAUAUCGCUACUUUGAUUUAUACGACUAUCCUCAUAGAGCGCUGACUUAUACGUUUCACUUCCCUCAGAUAUAUCCGAGCAGGAAAUAACCUUGAAACUGACUCUGCACGGGUUCUGGGUCGAGACUAUUAGGCUUCGUCUCCCUCGGAUAAAAAGGAAACAAUUUUCAUACAAAUAAAAGAAACAUUAUACGACAUAUUCGUCGUAUAACUGAAACCUAAA
RNAcentral lists this long non-coding RNA (225 nucleotides) under Brassica rapa (field mustard). RNAcentral describes it as "long non-coding RNA (BRAP_LNC008008)". The record is from RNAcentral. Lineage: Eukaryota; Viridiplantae; Streptophyta; Magnoliopsida; Brassicales; Brassicaceae.